Molecule: small RNA, 31 nt
Filed under: Bombyx mori (domestic silkworm)
Lineage: Eukaryota; Metazoa; Arthropoda; Insecta; Lepidoptera; Bombycidae
Description: ovarian small RNA-11344
Source: RNAcentral
ACCUCGCCAUCCUAUGGCCACCUCGCCAUUC